RNAcentral lists this long non-coding RNA (1318 nucleotides) under Equus asinus (donkey). RNAcentral's name for it is "lncRNA (ENSEASG00005034043.1)". Lineage: Eukaryota; Metazoa; Chordata; Mammalia; Perissodactyla; Equidae. The record is from RNAcentral.
CCCCGCCCUCGCAUUCCCUCGUCGGGCCCCAUUCAUCCACAGUUUGAACCCUGACGCGAGCCCACCGAGCCUCCCGGGCGCGGGGUGCUGUCUGCGUGUCCACGCCUCUGCGCCUCCGCCCGGCCCACCUCCCGCGCAGCCUUGCGGACGGCCACCGCCUAAAGUCCCUUCUAGCCGUGGUCUCUCCCCUCCCCUGCGGGAUGCCAAGAUCUGGGGACAAAGAUCAUUAAUAUCUUUAAGUUCUUACGUCAGAAGAGGGAACCAAAGUAGACUGUCUGGAAACCAGUCAGAGUUGGAUUGGGUCCAACUUAGAAGCUGGACUGAUUUUUGAGUCAAACUGGGUCUGGCUUAAACUGGACUGAGUCCAGCGUGAGGUCUCAGUUUCUAGCAACCAGAACGAGACCCACUAGAACAUCCCACUCUCUCCAGAGCCUGCGGAUGGGAUCCUGGGGAAACUGACAGAAGCUGGCAAAGGGACAGCUGUUGCCUCCUUGUUUGCCUCAUUUUGUACCCUGAGAACUUGACAUGGCUUUCUGCCUGCUUGGGGCAUGCAGGUUGUUUAUACAGGCAGCUCAACCAUCAGAUUGGGAGCCUCCCAAAUAUGGCCGGAUGGAAAUAUGGAUUGCACCACAUCUGGAACUGGAUAUGGCUGGACUGAAAUAUCAAAGAACCUAGAGGAGAAGAAAGAAAAAAAUCAGAUGACCAGACAGUUUUAAGCAACUAAUGUUGAAUUUAUAGAGACAAUAAAGCCCCUUUAGAAAACCAGCCUGCUGUCUUGCUUACAUGAUUCUUGGCAGCCUUACCAGAACCAAGACUGCAUUUGAACUUCCUUGGAAGGAACCAUAGCAGAUUCUCCUCACUACCCAGAUGGCAGCCAAACUUCAGAGUCUUCAACCUUGAGUCCAGAACUCCCAAUAAAAAGGGCUCCUGCAGACUCUUGGAACUACACACCAGCUGGAGAUCCAAAAUUAAAAUUGACUAUGGAGGCUCCUCCCCAGAAGCAGAUGGCAUCUUGAGGUGGACAGCUCUCCCAAGAUCGCAGAUCAAGAUCUCCAUCUCCAAUAUAAAACCUUGAUUCUUUUUGCCUUUCUACUACCUGCUUUUUCUCUCUGUUACUGCACAGGAAGACAAUGCUCCUUAACUCUGGCAACUAUCCCUGAAUAUACCAGUAAGGCCAUGUUGGCAUAACAAAACUCCCUAGACUUUCUUGCUAGGGUGGUUUUAAAUAAUAGUGUUGCUUUAGAUUACUUAUUGGCUGAACAAAUAAGAGUUUACGUCAUAGCAAAGUAUCUAUUAUACCUGGAUCAACACUGUUAGC